AGUGAACGCUGGCGGUAGGCCUAACACAUGCAAGUCGAACGGCAGCACAGUAAGAGCUUGCUCUUACGGGUGGCGAGUGGCGGACGGGUGAGGAAUACAUCGGAAUCUACUUUUUCGUGGGGGAUAACGUAGGGAAACUUACGCUAAUACCGCAUACGACCUACGGGUGAAAGCAGGGGAUCUUCGGACCUUGCGCGAUUGAAUGAGCCGAUGUCGGAUUAGCUAGUUGGCGGGGUAAAGGCCCACCAAGGCGACGAUCCGUAGCUGGUCUGAGAGGAUGAUCAGCCACACUGGAACUGAGACACGGUCCAGACUCCUACGGGAGGCAGCAGUAGGGAAUAUUGGACAAAGGGCGCAAGCCUGAUCCAGCCAUACCGCGUGGGUGAAGAAGGCCUUCGGGUUGUAAAGCCCUUUUGUUGGGAAAGAAAAGCAGCAGGUUAAUACCCCGCUGUUCUGACGGUACCCAAAGAAUAAGCACCGGCUAACUUCGUG
RNAcentral lists this ribosomal RNA (492 nucleotides) under uncultured bacterium. Its description in RNAcentral is "partial 16S ribosomal RNA". It matches the Rfam family "Bacterial small subunit ribosomal RNA", at positions 29 to 507 of the family's 1533-position model. The record is from RNAcentral.